UCCCCUACAAACUGUUGUUGAACAGUGC
This 28-nucleotide non-coding RNA is filed under the name Homo sapiens (human). Lineage: Eukaryota; Metazoa; Chordata; Mammalia; Primates; Hominidae. The record is from RNAcentral.